RNAcentral lists this ribosomal RNA (564 nucleotides) under uncultured bacterium. Its description in RNAcentral is "bacterial SSU rRNA". It matches the Rfam family "Bacterial small subunit ribosomal RNA", at positions 337 to 917 of the family's 1533-position model. The record is from RNAcentral.
UCCUACGGGAGGCAGCAGUCGGGAAUUUUGGGCAAUGGGCGAAAGCCUGACCCAGCAACGCCGCGUGAAGGAUGAAGUCUUUCGGGAUGUAAACUUCGUAAGAAUGGGAAGAAUCAAUGACGGUACCAUUUGUAAGGUCCGGCUAACUACGUGCCAGCAGCCGCGGUAAUACGUAGGGACCAAGCGUUGUUCGGAUUUACUGGGCGUAAAGGGCGCGUAGGCGGCGUGACAAGUCAGUUGUGAAAUCUCCGAGCUUAACUCGGAACGGUCAACUGAUACUGUUGUGCUAGAGUGCAGAAGGGGCAAUCGGAAUUCUUGGUGUAGCGGUGAAAUGCGUAGAUAUCAAGAGGAACACCUGAGGUGAAGACGGGUUGCUGGGCUGACACUGACGCUGAGGCGCGAAGGCUAGGGUAGCAAACGGGAUUAGAUACCCCGGUAGUCCUAGCCCUAAACGAUGAAUACUUGGUGUCUGGAAUAUUAUUUUUCCGGGUGCCGUCGCUAACGUUUUAAGUAUUCCGCCUGGGGAGUACGCACGCAAGUGUGAAACUCAAAGGAAUUGACGGA